UCAUUCAUUUUUUUUUUUUUAAUUGUCAUUUGCAUAAAUAAGAAAUUAAUUAAUUAGUUUUGUUUGUGUUACAAUACAGGCUUAAACUAAUAGUGAAACUUGCUCACGCAACGUAUUGUCUCCUAAGGGCGAACUAUUCACAGGUUUACUAAUUACUUUACUAAUUACUUUCAUAAUGCCCGAAACAGCUUCUUUAAUUUUUCAUUUUUUUUCAUAUUUAAUUUAAUUCAUUUCCCUUAUUUUUAUAUUAAGGUACUAGUACCUUAGUACCUUAUAUCAAUAUCUUUUUGUAUUCCUAAUUUUCAAAUGUGGACUUUGAAAACAGUUUUUUUCUGGAUUGUUUUUAUUCCAGAUAAACUGGAGUCGAUAGAAACUCAUCUCCUAUCGCUGUCCAUCCCGUAAAAAACUGAAGAAGAUUUAUUCGAGAAUAUCGGGUGACAUUUACAUCGAAGAAUUAUUUUUAUUCAAAUGCGUCGUCAAUAUUUACUAACUUUUGAAGACUAAAAGAAGAUGAACAGACACAUAGGCUCCUGUUUAUAUAUUUCUCUAUGAAUUAGAUUAACGUAAUUUCUAUAAUGCAUUUGUUGGAAUGUACCUGAAAUGUUUUUCCUUUCUAAACUCGAACCGGCUUGCAAAGAAGUUAACUGCAUGAUUAGAUACAAAGAUCACAGUUGAUGACACUACUUCAA
Octopus sinensis (East Asian common octopus) is the source of this 689-nucleotide long non-coding RNA. RefSeq lists it as uncharacterized. NCBI's taxonomy places the organism in Eukaryota, Metazoa, Mollusca, Cephalopoda, Octopoda, Octopodidae. The transcript is spliced from 2 exons. The record is from RefSeq and is a predicted model, not a curated record.